Molecule: ribosomal RNA, 500 nt
Filed under: uncultured bacterium
Lineage: Bacteria
Description: partial 16S ribosomal RNA
Rfam family: Bacterial small subunit ribosomal RNA
Source: RNAcentral
AAUCAACGCUGGCGGCGUGCCUAACACAUGCAAGUCGAACGCGAAAGCCCCGCAAGGGGUAAGUAGAGUGGCAAACGGGUGAGUAACACGUGGGUGACCUGCCUUCGAGUGGGGGAUAACGUCCCGAAAGGGACGCUAAUACCGCAUGACAUCCUGCUUUUGAAAAAGCGGAGAUCAAAGCUGGGGAUCGCAAGACCUAGCGCUUGACGAGGGGCCCGCGCCUGAUUAGCUAGUUGGUGAGGUAACGGCUCACCAAGGCGACGAUCAGUAUCCGGCCUGAGAGGGCGGACGGACACACUGGGACUGAGACACGGCCCAGACGCCUACGGGAGGCAGCAGUGGGGAAUUGUUCGCAAUGGGCGCAAGCCUGACGACGCAACGCCGCGUGGAGGACGAAGAUCUUCGGGUCGUAAACUCCGGUCGAGCGGGACGAACGCUUCGCGGAUGAAUAAUCCGCGGAAUUGACGGUACCGCUAAAGGAAGCCCCGGCUAACUCCGUG